This is a long non-coding RNA of Seriola aureovittata, 1012 nucleotides long. RefSeq lists it as uncharacterized. Lineage: Eukaryota; Metazoa; Chordata; Actinopteri; Carangiformes; Carangidae. The transcript is spliced from 2 exons. The record is from RefSeq and is a predicted model, not a curated record.
CUCUGUUCGUGGUGCGCAGAUCCAGCGGCGCUGUGGCAACCGACUGGUGGUCACCGUUCAUAGUCAUGAUCCUCGGCAUCAACUGGUGGCGAAGCGCUCAGGAUCUGAGGAAGUUUCAGAUUGAUGACAUAUCACCAGACUGCAGACUCGAAGUUUAACCUGGACCAAACCAAACCAAAGGUGGAAUAAGAAGAACAAACGAGGAAUUCAGAGAGAAGAUCCAACCCGAGUGACUGAUCAGUUAAUGUCAUGUUACUGCUACCCUGCAUGCGGCCAUGUUGGCUUAUUCCAUCUACAAAAAAAUGUGCAUACACAAUCAUGCAUUUGCACAGACACAAACACAAAUCACACCUCAUCUCCUUGUCUUUAAUCUUAUCCCUCCCCGCCCUCAUACCAGGUUCUGAUUACCAGGGUCAAUUUGGGACUUUCCUCUUUCCACUGAAGUGUGGGGUGGGCAACGGAAAGUCAAGCUUGGCUUCUAAAGUCCCUAAAACACCCUGACACUACACAAACAUACUCUGCAGCUGUCAGGGCACUCAACCAUUGUGGUCUCCUCUGGUGUACGGUAUCACUGUGUAUGAAAAAUACUGGCCUACCUCUUUUACAGCCAGUCUCAUCCUGAAUGCACACUUGACAGAGCUUACUACUGAGUGAAUGAGACACAGACGGAGGUUUAACAAUCUUCUCUAAGAGUAUAUACAUGUGUGUAAAUAGAAAACCCCAUACACUUUUAAUAUUUAGGGGUUCAGUACUCCUGCAUGGUGAAUGGAGAGAAGCCAUCAGUUGCAGAAAUAAUGAGGAUAUCACAUACACAUAAAAAAAACGAUGAAAUGGGGCCCCCUUGUGCCAAGAGAGCAAAGGUGCAAAUAGACUCUCAAACAAGCUGGACUGCGUCAUAGGUUUGUGCAGCUGGUUUCAGCCCUUUAUCUUUUUGCUUCCCUCCUACUCUCUGUGCUCACAUAUAUAGUAUUUUAAUACAGCUGACUUUCCAAUAAAGCUGUUCUCAUUCAUG